GACGAACGCUGGCGGCGUGCUUAACACAUGCAAGUCGAACGGAAAGGCCCUGCUGUUGUGGGGUGCUCGAGUGGCGAACGGGUGAGUAACACGUGAGUAACCUGCCCUUGACUUUGGGAUAACUUCAGGAAACUGGGGCUAAUACCGGAUAGGAGCUCCUGCUGCAUGGUGUUGGUUGGAAAGUUUCGGCGGUUGGGGAUGGACUCGCGGCUUAUCAGCUUGUUGGUGGGGUAGUGGCUUACCAAGGCUUUGACGGGUAGCCGGCCUGAGAGGGUGACCGGCCACAUUGGGACUGAGAUACGGCCCGGACUCCUACGGGAGGCAGCAGUGGGGAAUAUUGCACAAUGGGCGGAAGCCUGAUGCAGCAACGCCGCGUGCGGGAUGACGGCCUUCGGGUUGUAAACCGCUUUCGCCUGUGACGAAGCGUGAGUGACGGUAAUGGGUAAAGAAGCACCGGCUAACUACGUG
RNAcentral lists this ribosomal RNA (468 nucleotides) under uncultured bacterium. RNAcentral describes it as "partial 16S ribosomal RNA". It matches the Rfam family "Bacterial small subunit ribosomal RNA", at positions 28 to 507 of the family's 1533-position model. The record is from RNAcentral.